GACGAACGCUGGCGGCGUGCCUAAUACAUGCAAGUCGAGCGAAGUUUUUCUGGUGCUUGCACUAGAAAAACUUAGCGGCGAACGGGUGAGUAACACGUAAAGAACCUGCCUCAUAGACUGGGACAACUAUUGGAAACGAUAGCUAAUACCGGAUAACAGCAUUAACUGCAUGGUUGAUGUUUAAAAGUUGGUUUUGCUAACACUAUGAAAUGGCUUUGCGGUGCAUUAGCUAGUUGGUGGGGUAAAGGCCUACCAAGGCGACGAUGCAUAGCCGACCUGAGAGGGUGAUCGGCCACACUGGGACUGAGACACGGCCCAGACUCCUACGGGAGGCAGCAGUAGGGAAUCUUCCGCAAUGGGCGAAAGCCUGACGGAGCAACGCCGCGUGAGUGAAGAAGGAUUUCGGUUCGUAAAGCUCUGUUGUUAGGGAAGAAUGAUUGUGUAGUAACUAUACACAGAGAGACG
This 465-nucleotide ribosomal RNA is filed under the name Gemella haemolysans. RNAcentral's name for it is "bacterial SSU rRNA". It matches the Rfam family "Bacterial small subunit ribosomal RNA", at positions 28 to 474 of the family's 1533-position model. Lineage: Bacteria; Bacillati; Bacillota; Bacilli; Caryophanales; Gemellaceae. The record is from RNAcentral.